Eptesicus fuscus (big brown bat) is the source of this 716-nucleotide long non-coding RNA. RefSeq lists it as uncharacterized. The record is from RefSeq and is a predicted model, not a curated record. NCBI's taxonomy places the organism in Eukaryota, Metazoa, Chordata, Mammalia, Chiroptera, Vespertilionidae. The transcript has 3 exons.
UCUUCAUCCUGCCACUCCUCCUUCAGCUCCAAUUCUGCAAGUCUCACGGAUGCUCCUAGUCCUGCUGCUUCUGCAUUCUCCCUGACCCUAAGAUAGUCCCCCAGCCCCCGGAAGAAAAGAUUAUCAUGAGACAAACUAGAUUUACGAGAACAGGACAAGUGCACCUGACCCUGGAGCAAUGAAGACAGAAUUGCUGAAGCCUCUCAAAACAUGCAUUCGAGGCUCAGAAGUCAACUGACUUGCUUUAGCUCAAAGAGAAGCAAGUGGCAAAUCUGGGGCAGAAAAGCACGUCUAUCUGCCUUUAAACACUGUAGUCUUUCCUCAGUGCCACACUUCCUCCACUGAAUGAAGUUACACUUGCUUCCUCGAGGAGAAGACAAAGGCAGAGAAGUGUGGGAAAGGGCGGACGUACCUUUUACAGGCUCAAAGGAUUAUCUGGCUGCAUUCAGACCAGUCUUCAGCAGUCAUCACACAGCCCAAGCAACCCAAAGAGGCCCUGGACUGCCUUAAGUCCACUUUCAAAUUCUUCCCUGGGCUAAUGAGUAACCAAAAGAGGAAAAGAAAGGGGAGGGGCUGGGAAAGGGGCCAAAUGGAAGACCAGGCAGGAAAACAAACCUGCUCCGGGGCCCCUUCUCCACAGUCAGCUGCACAGAGCGAUUACUCCCCGCAGGGUGAGGAGUAGAAAAAGUUCCUUUUGUGUUUCCCCCUUUCAGGCC